GAAAUGCGAUAAGUAAUGUGAAUUUCAGAAUUCCGUGAAUCAUCGAAUCUUUGAACGCACAUUGCGCCCUCUGGCAUUCCGGGGGGCAUGCCUGUCCGAGCGUCAUUACGCACCCUCAAGCCCGGCUUGUGUGAUGGGCCCCGGCGUCUCGUUCGCGAGACGGGCCCGAAAGGCAGCGGCGGCGUCGACCCGAUGAGCCCGAGCGUAUGGGGACUUCUGUCACACGUUCGCGGUGCGGACCGGCGCCUGCUUGACUUUUCUGAUUAUCCAGGUUGACCUCGGAUCAGGUAGGGAUACCCGCUGAACUUAAGC
Molecule: unclassified non-coding RNA, 312 nt
Filed under: plant metagenome
Description: partial contains 5.8S ribosomal RNA, internal transcribed spacer 2, and large subunit ribosomal RNA
Rfam family: 5.8S ribosomal RNA (bases 1-105)
Source: RNAcentral